UACAGAGGGGGCAAGCGUUGUUCGGAAUUACUGGGCGUAAAGGGCGCGUAGGCGGCCUUCUAAGUCGGAUGUGAAAGCCCCGGGCUCAACCUGGGAAUUGCAUUCGAGACUGAAUAGCUAGGGUGCGGUAGAGGGAAGCGGAAUUUCCGGUGUAGCGGUGAAAUGCGUAGAUAUCGGAAGGAACAUCAGUGGCGAAAGCGGCUUCCUGGACCAGCACCGACGUUCAGGCACGAAAGCGUGGGGAGCAAACAGG
This 253-nucleotide ribosomal RNA is filed under the name uncultured bacterium. RNAcentral's name for it is "partial 16S ribosomal RNA". It matches the Rfam family "Bacterial small subunit ribosomal RNA", at positions 524 to 776 of the family's 1533-position model. The record is from RNAcentral.